This 86-nucleotide non-coding RNA is filed under the name Bariatricus massiliensis. Its description in RNAcentral is "NiCo riboswitch". It matches the Rfam family "NiCo (Nickel/Cobalt) riboswitch aptamer". Lineage: Bacteria; Bacillati; Bacillota; Clostridia; Lachnospirales; Lachnospiraceae. The record is from RNAcentral.
ACAGUACAAACUGAGCAGGUAACGGUGAUACACCGUGGGGCCGGGCUGUAAACACAGCAGCAGAUAACACGAAUCUGCGGGACAGU